RNAcentral lists this ribosomal RNA (255 nucleotides) under uncultured bacterium. RNAcentral's name for it is "partial 16S ribosomal RNA". It matches the Rfam family "Bacterial small subunit ribosomal RNA", at positions 524 to 776 of the family's 1533-position model. The record is from RNAcentral.
UACGGAGGGUGCGAGCGUUGUCCGGAUUUAUUGGGUUUAAAGGGUGCGUAGGCGGUCUGGUAAGUCGGCGAUGAAAGCCCGGGGCUCAACCCCGGAACCUGUCGUCGAUACUGUCGGACUUGAAUAGAGUGGAGGCUGGCGGAAUGGGCGGUGUAGCGGUGAAAUGCAUAGAUACCGUCCAGAACCCCGAUUGCGAAGGCAGCUGGCCUGUACUCUUAUUGACGCUGAGGCACGAAAGCGUGGGGAGCGAACAGG